GGGGAUGUAAUGGCUUCGACAGGCCUACCGGACCUUUGUAUUGCAGUGGUCUCCAAACCUUAAUGGACUAGGCGCAUUAUAUAAAUGCAAACAACAAAAAACAAGAAGUUGUUACAGAUCAAGAUCUAUUCUUUGCUUCUGCAGCUUCAAACAACUUAGCUUUCGCUUAAUAGCAGCUAACGUAAAAUUACUUUUUCCUCAGAGGUAAUGGCACGUAUUACAUGAGGGGUAGUUGUGUGGACCUACUAAAACACAAUGAAAUUCCAGUAGAAUCUUCAUCAGUUAUUUAGUUCUAUUUGAACUGAAUGAAGAUAAAUUUAAAAUGAACUAAACUGUAGACGUACAUUGUGUAAGGUAUGUGUGGACCCGGGUUCGACUCCCGGCAUCUCCACCA
This 394-nucleotide transfer-messenger RNA is filed under the name Mycoplasma marinum. It matches the Rfam family "transfer-messenger RNA". Rfam says of the family: Bacterial tmRNA, also known as 10Sa RNA or SsrA, is named for its dual tRNA and mRNA-like properties. Its role is to liberate the mRNA from a stalled ribosome. The record is from Rfam by way of RNAcentral. RNAcentral also lists the same sequence under 1 other name. Lineage: Bacteria; Bacillati; Mycoplasmatota; Mollicutes; Mycoplasmatales; Mycoplasmataceae.